GCGUCCUUGGUGUAGCGGUAACACACAGCCUUCUGGUUGAGACAGAAGUUCCACUUUAGGCUGAGUCCGGGGUUCGACCCCCCGAGAACGCA
Mycena latifolia is the source of this 92-nucleotide non-coding RNA. The record is from the annotation of a GenBank genome assembly. NCBI's taxonomy places the organism in Eukaryota, Fungi, Basidiomycota, Agaricomycetes, Agaricales, Mycenaceae.